GAUGAACGCUGGCGGCGUGCUUAACACAUGCAAGUCGAACGAAGCAUUUAGGACAGAUUACUUCGGUUUGAAGUUCUUUAUGACUGAGUGGCGGACGGGUGAGUAACGCGUGGGUAACCUGCCUUGUACUGGGGGAUAGCAGCUGGAAACGGCUGGUAGUACCGCAUAAGCGCACAAUGUUGCAUGACAUGGUGUGAAAAACUCCGGUGGUAUAAGAUGGACCCGCGUCUGAUUAGCUAGUUGGUGAGAUAACAGCCCACCAAGGCGACGAUCAGUAGCCGACCUGAGAGGGUGACCGGCCACAUUGGGACUGAGACACGGCCCAGACUCCUACGGGAGGCAGCAGUGGGGAAUAUUGCACAAUGGAGGAAACUCUGAUGCAGCGACGCCGCGUGAGUGAAGAAGUAAUUCGUUAUGUAAAGCUCUAUCAGCAGGGAAGAUAGUGACGGUACCUGACUAAGAAGCGCCGGCUAAAUACGUG
RNAcentral lists this ribosomal RNA (481 nucleotides) under uncultured bacterium. RNAcentral's name for it is "partial 16S ribosomal RNA". It matches the Rfam family "Bacterial small subunit ribosomal RNA", at positions 28 to 507 of the family's 1533-position model. The record is from RNAcentral.